Molecule: transfer RNA, 88 nt
Filed under: Streptomyces lomondensis
Lineage: Bacteria; Bacillati; Actinomycetota; Actinomycetes; Kitasatosporales; Streptomycetaceae
Description: tRNA-Pro
Source: RNAcentral
GGGCGGCCUUGAAGAGGGCCUCGACCUGUUCGGGGUCGGUGACGUCGACCUUCACGAAGAUGCCGCCGGUCUCCUCGGCGGCCGCCUU